GACGAACCGUGCGAACGUUAUUCGGAAUCACUGGGCUUAAAGCGCGUGUAGGCGGCCCGGCACGUCCGUCGCUGAAAUCCCCCGGCUCAACCGGGGAAGUGGCGUGGAUACGACCGGGCUGGAGGGGGGUAGGGGGAGCCGGAACUCCGGUGGAGCGGUGAAAUGCGUUGAGAUCGGAAGGAACGCCCGUGGCGAAAGCGGGCGUCCUGGACCCCGACCUGACGCUGAGACGCGAAAGCCAGGGGAGCGAACGGG
RNAcentral lists this ribosomal RNA (255 nucleotides) under uncultured bacterium. Its description in RNAcentral is "partial 16S ribosomal RNA". It matches the Rfam family "Bacterial small subunit ribosomal RNA", at positions 524 to 776 of the family's 1533-position model. The record is from RNAcentral.